UUAGGAAUUUUGCGCAAUGGACGAAAGUCUGACGCAGCAACUCCGCGUGAGUGAUGAAGGCCUUCGGGUUGUAAAGCUCUUUUAGUUGGGACGAAGAAAAUGACGGUACCAACAGAAACAGCACCGGCUAACCCUGUGCCAGCAGCCGCGGUAAUACAGGGGGUGCAAGCGUUAUUCGGAAUUAUUGGGCGUAAAGAGCGUGUAGGCGGUUCAGCAAGUUUGGUGUGAAAGCCCCGGGCUUAAUCCGGGAAGUGCAUUGAAUACUGCUAAACUAGAGUAUAGGAGAGGAUGGCGGAAUUCCUGGUGUAGAGGUGAAAUUCGUAGAUAUCAGGAGGAACAACAGAGGCGAAGGCGGCCAUCUGGACUAUUACUGACGCUAAGGCGCGAAAGUGUGGGGAGCAAACAG
RNAcentral lists this ribosomal RNA (406 nucleotides) under uncultured bacterium. RNAcentral's name for it is "bacterial SSU rRNA". It matches the Rfam family "Bacterial small subunit ribosomal RNA", at positions 355 to 775 of the family's 1533-position model. The record is from RNAcentral.